This 325-nucleotide transfer-messenger RNA is filed under the name Escherichia coli. Its description in RNAcentral is "partial transfer-messenger RNA". It matches the Rfam family "transfer-messenger RNA", at positions 1 to 336 of the family's 374-position model. From Rfam's summary of the family: Bacterial tmRNA, also known as 10Sa RNA or SsrA, is named for its dual tRNA and mRNA-like properties. Its role is to liberate the mRNA from a stalled ribosome. Lineage: Bacteria; Pseudomonadati; Pseudomonadota; Gammaproteobacteria; Enterobacterales; Enterobacteriaceae. The record is from RNAcentral.
GGGGCUGAUUCUGGAUUCGACGGGAUUUGCGAAACCCAAGGUGCAUGCCGAGGGGCGGUUGGCCUCGUAAAAAGCCGCAAAAAAUAGUCGCAAACGACGAAAACUACGCUUUAGCAGCUUAAUAACCUGCUUAGAGCCCUCUCUCCCUAGCCUCCGCUCUUAGGACGGGGAUCAAGAGAGGUCAAACCCAAAAGAGAUCGCGUGGAAGCCCUGCCUGGGGUUGAAGCGUUAAAACUUAAUCAGGCUAGUUUGUUAGUGGCGUGUCCGUCCGCAGCUGGCAAGCGAAUAUAAAGACUGACUAAGCAUGUAGUACCGAGGAUGUAGG